This 560-nucleotide long non-coding RNA is filed under the name Olea europaea subsp. europaea. The record is from RNAcentral. Lineage: Eukaryota; Viridiplantae; Streptophyta; Magnoliopsida; Lamiales; Oleaceae.
UCCGACAACAAUUUAGAGAGUCGAAAAAUGCUUUUGGAUCAUUCCCUUCUACCGUUUUGAUUGAUUUAUGACUUUCUCUUUUAACUGUUCCAUAUCAUCCCAUUCCAGUUCAAAACAACUCUACCCUGAGUUGUCAUCAGAAUACGAAAGGAUUAUAAUUAUAUGACACAUACUCAUAAAGAUCUGCAGCAAUAACGUCUUGAAAUUCUUCACGUGCUCAAGAAAAUUGAGGACCUUUGCAUUGUCAUUAAUUUUUUGCAAAAGGUCGAUGCUUCUUCCUAUCUAAUUUCUUUGAACUUUCUCCGCGCUAUGUCCUCAAGAUCACCAUAAUCAUAUCACCCAUCCGAAACGUGUUAUGAUGCCUAUGUGCAUCAGCAAUAGCUUUAUACUUUGCAUUGGAGGCUUUCAACUUUUUUUUCACCUGUUCAAUCAACUAUAAAGGUUGUUUAGCUAGUUGUUGAACUGCUACACUCUUUCUCAUAGUUGUUCACCUAAACUCUUUUACAUUGUAUGGAAACUCAUUGGUUGAAUUCGUAAAUCAGGAAAGUUUUAGAAGCUUU